AAUAAAAAAGUUAUCAGUACCUAUUAUCGAAAUACAAUAUUUUCUUAUAUAUUAUAUACGAUGGGAACGAUGAAUUUCUGUGGAUCAUUCUUGAACAGCUCAAUCCUCAAUAAUAUUAAAAUGAAAAUGUUCGAUGCAAAUUGAUGAUGCUGAUUAUUAAGCUGCCGCAGUUUUUCUUUUAUAAUCUUUUGAUUAGGAACAUUCAUUCUUUCAAAUAGAAAUUGAACGUAUAUAAAUGCUUGUAAAUCGAUAUGUUAAUGUGGCGCAAAGUUCGGCGGAGUCGUUGGGUCAAUGUGACGUCAGCGGAUACGAAGACCCUCGAUGUGCUGAACUACGACAAUAUUUGCGUUUAAAAUGUUUCUCAGUUGUGCAUAUGCAUAUAAUAUGAUCGUAGUCACUAUAUUGAUUUACGACAAUCUUUUCAUUUUUGUAAGAGACAAAAUACGAAUAUUUUUUUAGCAAUAGAUAUUUCUUAUUAUUUCUAUACUUUGAUAUGCAUUUAUGAAUAAUCAUGAAAUUUUUAGGUUAAUAAAAAGUAAAUAUGUAUAUAUACAUAUAUAUAUACAUACAUAAUAUGAGAUCUAAUGUGCUUGAAUGUUUACACUUUUUUUUAUUGAAGGCGUAAAAUGAUAAUUUGCUCGAAGAAAAUUAAAAAGAAAUCAAAAAUAGAGAAGAAAAGAAUAAAAGAAUAAUGAUUGGAUAGCCUGUCCGUUCCUUUCAAUGACCCCUGGACCAUUCUCUGAUUCUUCAGAGUUAAAUACUUCCCUCGGUUGGUUCCAGAAUGGAGAAAAAGAAAAUGAUAACCCCAGAUACUGUGGUGGCGGUGCUGAAAUGGCUUCUAAUUAAAAAAUCAUUCGAUUUGUGAUCGAUUUUUUGUUAGACACGUUGUUUCAAAUCAAUUCUGUUGAUGGCGCAAUCCGAUAAUCGUAACGGAGGAUCUAUUUUAAUUACCGUUAAUUACCGUUCCGGUCAAUUAUAAAAUAUAUUUUCCAUAAGGAUGAUGUAUAUACAAAACGGUUGAAUAUGCGAAGUGACAAUCAUAAAGAAGAGUUUUAUUGAUCGUAAAAGCGAUCGUCUCUCGUGCCAACACGCUUAGGAACCAUCGCAUUACAAUAGCGCAUACACGUGGUUGACAAACAUGGGAGCGGCAUAUUGGGUCGAUGGCAAAAGGAAUAAAAAAAAAAAAAAAAAGAAAAGAGGGAAGGACAUAGAAGCUGGGAUAUAAGCGAGAAAAAGGAUAUAUACCACUGGCUCGACCUUUCUACCUUGUCUACAUGUAUUUCACUCGCUUUAUACCUAGGUGUGGCUUAUGUAUUCCUUUACCUCUGUGAACUAUCGCAUUUCCGGCAUAAUCCCCCGUUCAGGAGAUUGUACAACGUGUGUUGGACUUGGAAAAUUAACGCUGAUUUGAAAUUGAAACCUCUUUCUUGAAAUCUAUCCUCCAUUUUAUUCUUUGAAAUUCAUUCACAACAUAUUAUUUUAUUUGUAAGUUGAAAUUUGGUAUCAAGAUUGGUAAAGGAUAUAUUGGUAUGGAUAAUAUUUAAGAAUAUUCAACUUUCUCCAGAAUUCUAAUAGAUAAAACCUUUUGCAGGUUAAACAAGAGUUUAAUGAGCCUUGAGAGAAUGUCAAAUUGGGAUUGUACGUAAAGAAUUUUAAGGAAAACUGUGGUGCACAAGGGACAUCUGUUGUAAGGGAUGUUUAAUCGAUUAACGAACAAUUGAAAGAAGGUAAAGCCUCCUCUGGCUAAAUGUGACUUUUAACGAGCAGCAACGAGGAGAAACGGGGAACGACCUGCGCGCGGAUUCGGGCGCGGUCAAUGCCGUCUAGAUGCUAUUGCUAUUACUAUCCGGACCGUCUGAUAUUUUCGUCAUGGCCUACUAAUACACUCCGCAAAUUCUCGCCCUACCACGGGGGUCACUGUUCGAGGAUGACGUGGUCAAGGAAAUAUGCCGAUCAUUCCCUGAUAAGCGAGAGGAGAAGAAUAUCUAUCUUCCAUCAGUUUUGAACAAUCAAAGGUAGAUUCAUGUGAACAUGUUCUUCAAUGUUUACUUAGAUGGAAGUUCGAAUUUUUUUAACUUGAAAUGAAGAAAGCAGCAGUGUACUUGGGAUGCGUUUAGCGGGUAACCGGGUACAUAAUGGUCGUGGCUAAAUAUUCAAACAGUUUGACCUUCCAUAUAUUCAUGACCGUCAUCUUGGUGGAGAAAAAGAAAAGGUAGAUGGAUUUGCAUUUGAAUGAUGGAACGAUUUGUGGGACAAGAAGUUUUUCAAUAUACCGCUUUCCGGUAGUGUACGUGUUGACCAUCGACUCUGGCAGCCAUUUUUAGGAAAAUUGCUUUUAACGUGUUCCACGGCAUAAAGGUGCGGUUCACGAUUUAUUCAAAAUUACGUUGCCCGAUAGUUGGAAAUCAUCCUUUGAUUAUGAAAUUACCAUUAGCAUAUAGUAUUGAGAACGCAAUGAAAUUAAGCGUUUACGUCAUCUUCUUACUUUUAGGAUUAUAUUACUCUGUGAAAAAAACAUACAAAAAAUUAAAAUUUAUAGUACUUUUUUUCUUCUGCUCAAAAAAGUAUUAUCUGUAUCUGAGAGGCGGGUUACAGAGAUAACGGUUCUAAAGUUAAUUUUUUAUUUCAUAAUGAAAAAUUCGUUUUCCAUUCGCAUCUCGUCACGACACACUACCGACAGAGUCCUGGCAUGAUGCAAUACGAACUAUGUGUACCCAUUUCUCCACGCAUCGAGACAUUUAUCUGUUCAACUCAUUAUCGAUAGAAUGCCACUUUCGCCCUAUUUCGUAAGACCAGGCGUCGUGCAACAUUAGUUUUAAGCGAGAUAAAAUUUUUUGAAUUUGGGACACAUGAAAAAACAUAGGGUCGUUGGGUCGUUCUGCAUCGAUAAGAUAUUACCGACGUGGAAUACAAGUGCACUGGUUACAUAAAUGGUGGUACAGCUGUUGAACGGGGUGAGAUUUUCAUUCCAAACGAAAAGUUAUAUCGCAGUAGACGGAGUAGACGAUGUAAAUCAUUGUUGUAAUGGAUCGAACGUUCCAUUUGAACACGCAUUAUCACAGCAAUCGAGAUAAGAAUUUCUGUCGCAAUCAUUCGUGUUCAUGAUACGUAUAUCGUUGAUAAUUAAGUGAUCAUUGUUACAUUACUUUUACUUGCAACUACUACUUUUCCGUUUCUUCAAAAUACCAACCAAUAUAAUAUUUACAAUGGGAGUUUAUAAGGUAAAAAAAAAGAUACGUAAAUGGCCUGUAAUGCGAAGCGUUAUCAUCCUUGAACUCGGUGACGAAGCAUUCUAUGCUAACGCGUCGUAAAAUACAGCGAUACGAGUGUAUUAACUACUUUACGUUACUUUCUAUGAAUAGCGAGUUAAUUGAAUAGUUACAAUAGUCGUUUAACGAUGAAUUCGUUAUAUUUCUCGUGAAAUGUAUCGUUCAAAUUGCACCCAAUCAUGUACAUCGAAUAUAAUCAUUAUCUUUCGUCGAUUAAAAUUCAAUUAUAACGAGUAAAUUGUAAAUUUGUUAAAUAUAAAUAUUAUGUAUCUCCAA
Long non-coding RNA from Apis mellifera (honey bee), 3545 nucleotides. RefSeq lists it as uncharacterized. The transcript has 8 exons. Lineage: Eukaryota; Metazoa; Arthropoda; Insecta; Hymenoptera; Apidae. The record is from RefSeq and is a predicted model, not a curated record.